CUUCCAUAUUGUGGACAAGGAAAAAUAAUUUAAAUUGCACAGCUAACUUAAAAUUACCAGGUUGUCUUGUUAUGUUUUGUUGUUUUAAAAAGUUUUGUAAAUAAAACCGUUGAAUUAAGACACAUAAGCUGAGCACAGUGGAGCACACCUAAGUUGGGAAGGUCACUUGAGCCCAGGAGUUUCAGGCCAGCCUGGCAAUAUAGCAAGACCCCAAUCUCUCUUUGUUUGUUUGCUUUUUGAAACAGAAUUUCACCAUGUUGUGCAGGCUGGCCUCGAGCUCAUGGCAAUCCUCCUGCCUCAGCCUCUCGAAUGCUGGGAUUACAGGUGUGUGCCACCAUGCCCAUCAUUAGGACCCCAUCUCUUUAAAAACACUUAAAAAUUGGGCCAGGGAUUUAGUUCAGUGGCACCGUGCCUGCCUCGAAAUCGAAAGGUCCUGAGGAAAAAAACACUUAAAAAUUAAGACAGCGUUAUUAUUACCACCAUUUCAAUAAAGAAAGAACCCUUACCAAUAAAAAGUUAUGAUUUAAAAAUUUUAAAAUUUCAUAAAAUGUAACUUCUUGAUUCUCUCUACAAUGAUCUUGUUAUUCUUGCUGCAGAUCAGGUUGCUGAUACUAUACUUCAUGAUGAACCAUGCUGAGUUAGCACAGGCAUUGGAACCAUUGCAUUGCAGGAAAUAAAUGUGAAUCAGUUAUGUGCCUGGGCUCAUCACCUUUAAAUAUCUGCUUCCUUCCACCAGAGUCUCUUUUUCCCACUCACCCUUGGCUGACUCAGUUUUUGUUUUUUGUGUGUUUUUUUUGGUACCAGGGGAUCAAACUUGGGACCUUGCACUUUCGAGGCAGGUGGCAGAACCACUGAGCUAAAUCCCCGGCCCCUGACUCAGUAUUUUUAAGACUUGGUUAAGGUAUCACAGGCUCAUGGGAAUUUUCUCUUCUCCCCUGCUUCUUGAAGGCUGAAUUUGGAGCACCCAUUUUGUGGUUCCCAAAACAUUCUGUACACACUUCUAUCACCCUAUUUUUAUCACAUACCUUUUUUUUUUGGUACUAGAGAUCGAACUUGGGUCCUGCUUGCGAGGCAGGUGCCAGAACCACUGAGCUAAAUCCCCGGCCCCUAU
RNAcentral lists this long non-coding RNA (1111 nucleotides) under Heterocephalus glaber (naked mole-rat). Its description in RNAcentral is "lncRNA (ENSHGLG00100034025.1)". The record is from RNAcentral. Lineage: Eukaryota; Metazoa; Chordata; Mammalia; Rodentia; Bathyergidae.